Drosophila pseudoobscura is the source of this 2458-nucleotide long non-coding RNA. RefSeq lists it as uncharacterized. Lineage: Eukaryota; Metazoa; Arthropoda; Insecta; Diptera; Drosophilidae. The record is from RefSeq and is a predicted model, not a curated record. The transcript is spliced from 4 exons.
UAUAAAACAUUGGCAACAAGCAAAGCGAUUCUAUUUAUAAAUCGCACAGUUAUUUUGCUGUAAAUACCCUGCAAUUAGGAGGGCCAUCAACUGAUUACUGGGUCCGCCGUUCUGGACCAAACUAAUUGUAACCCCCCUAAUAAUAGAUUACUCUCCAGCCUCAUGCAGAGGGUACAAUUUUGCACAGAAGCUUGGAACUGAGAAAACAGCGGGUCACGCACUCAAGCCAAUUGGCAUUUGGACUUCUCACUCACUCUCUGGCAAAAGAUUUAAAUGCGGAAUGAAACACGAUUUGUGCACGCGAGAAAAGUGACCGACUAACGAAAGUGAUGUCAUUAGAUUAAUAGCUACUAGUGCUUUUAUGGGAUUGCUAAGGAUGUGCCACAAGUGGUUGCGGGGGACAGCUCAAGCGGAAAUGCCUCACAUAACGCAACAGGUGCGUAUAGUGCUCAACGGGGGACAGAGAGUGGCGGAGAGAGUGACCAACCGCCACUCAAAAAGAUAGCUCAGAAUGGAGUCGAGUUUUUUAUUCACAGCUGACGCCACUGGAGCGUGAUGAGGGAGAGGGACAGGGAUGGCUAGAGGGACUAGCAACUAGAGCCUGAUAAAAAGUAGUGAAACUCACCUGAUAAUACGAAUCCGACAUGGUUUAUGUAGUUACACGUUGAAUCACUCGAUGCCCUUGUUGCUUUCGUUGUUGUUAUAGUUGUUUAGUUGUUUUUGCUAUUUCCUUAGUUGUCAGUUUAUAUAUGUAUGUAUAUUUUUGGCUAUUAAGUGGCGCCGCACAGAAACACUCACGCGUCCGCGUAUUCCGUUCGUUUUCGUGUUUGCUCUUUUGUUUACCUUUCUUUGAACAAAUAAAACAUAUAAGUACAUAUGUAUAUGUAUGAUACCGUUGUAUGUAUUUGGACUGUUUAACACUUAAACAUUAACACCUGAUGCGCGCGCCCCAGCUCUCCCUUUUAUUCGAUUCCCCCCUCUGCCUACCGAUACACCGCAAGCAAUGAAUAGAUUUCGGUUGUUUGCUAGGGAAGGGGGAUAGCAACUCACGCACACACCGCCAACAAGUGGCCGGUUCCAUAGGUGUGAGUGGGUACGCGCGAUUGUAUUCGUGCCAGCGGAUGAGCCCGUGAGAGGGAUAGGGAGAGUGGAAGAGGCAGAAGAAGAGAGAACAAGCGUCAUUUACAAUUGUUGCUUUUGCGGGAACAAAGAGCUGCUUCUGCUUCUGCCGCUGAAGCUGUCUCUGUCUCGGUCGCUUCCUCUACCUCUGCUGCCCAUCCACGUUGCAGCUUAUUUGCGGCUACAAAUUAUGCAUAUUUCCAAAGAAUGUGCUUAGGGAAUCUGCAGCUGGAUUAAUUAGCUUCAAUUGAAAACUGGGCUCUGGUUCCGCUCCCGAUUAAAACAUGGAAAGGAGGCAAGGAAUGCAGAAUAUGAGGAGUGGGGAACGUACACCGCGUUUCAAAACAUAGCGCAUGCGUCGGAUAGCAGCGAAAAUUUCGUGCGACCACCGAUAUAUCACAUAUCUACACAACAACACAUUUCUACACAACAACACCUUUGCUACACGCUUGCUACAUAAUGGAAGGAAAAAGAGGGUAUGGGCAACAGUCGUAACGGCCCAGAAAAUGAAACGCAUGCAUGGUAAAAUCCACCCCAUUUGCUCAAUAUACCUUUAAGACAGAAAUUAGAUUUUUUCUCCAAGGUAUAUUGAGCUCAUACGCGAGUGAGGUUCGUACGAACCUUGCAAUUUGCUUUGCCUUUUUUGCCUGUUGUCCAUACCUCUUUCUAUAGCCCAUUUAAAAUUACGACUCAUUUUUUCGUUGGAUUAUGAGCGUCUGCACUCAGAAAUAUACCGAAAUAUACCUUAUUUUCAAAUGAGUACUAAAACAGAAAUAUUUUAGAUCAUUAUUUUCUUAGUUACAAUAAUAUAAAAAAGGAUUAUUCUUUAUAUAAUAUAAUUGUCUUUAGAUAACAUAAAGCAGAUAUUCGUUUACCCUAAUCAUCGUUCACUGUUAGACUCCAUUUUGCAAAAGCAUUUCUUUUUCGGGUUUAGAUUGUCGUACAAAUAAUAGAUUUUAAAAAGUUGUAUUCGUAAAUCUAUUUCUUAUAUUGGUUUUAAGAAGCGUUUCUACCGACGCCCUCUAUGCGCUUUAUAUCAGAAUGUGACCUACGAGUCGCUAUAUUUCUAAUACUUUUAAAGCCGUCAAUCUUAAAUUUAUUUGUUUUUACAGACGGUACUGCCCGCAUAUAAUAUAACAUACUAAUAAUAGGAGCUAAAAUCUAAGCCGCUGGCUUCUUGGGUAGAGAGCCGAAAGCAGAUAUGACCGUGCCCUUGGUGCCAGUCACUGUGGUGGUGAGAGCAGGCAGGGUUUGCUUAACGCUGGAUGAUGAGGCCGGUUGAUCCCACUUGGAUUUGCUACAAAAGAUGUGGUUUAAAUAAAAAAGAACUUCUCCCAUA